This 446-nucleotide ribosomal RNA is filed under the name Enterobacter hormaechei subsp. xiangfangensis. RNAcentral describes it as "bacterial SSU rRNA". It matches the Rfam family "Bacterial small subunit ribosomal RNA", at positions 76 to 515 of the family's 1533-position model. The record is from RNAcentral. Lineage: Bacteria; Pseudomonadati; Pseudomonadota; Gammaproteobacteria; Enterobacterales; Enterobacteriaceae.
CAGCUUGCUGCUUCGCUGACGAGUGGCGGACGGGUGAGUAAUGUCUGGGAAACUGCCUGAUGGAGGGGGAUAACUACUGGAAACGGUAGCUAAUACCGCAUAACGUCGCAAGACCAAAGAGGGGGACCUUCGGGCCUCUUGCCAUCGGAUGUGCCCAGAUGGGAUUAGCUAGUAGGUGGGGUAACGGCUCACCUAGGCGACGAUCCCUAGCUGGUCUGAGAGGAUGACCAGCCACACUGGAACUGAGACACGGUCCAGACUCCUACGGGAGGCAGCAGUGGGGAAUAUUGCACAAUGGGCGCAAGCCUGAUGCAGCCAUGCCGCGUGUAUGAAGAAGGCCUUCGGGUUGUAAAGUACUUUCAGCGGGGAGGAAGGCGAUAAGGUUAAUAACCUUGUCGAUUGACGUUACCCGCAGAAGAAGCACCGGCUAACUCCGUGCCAGCAGC